RNAcentral lists this long non-coding RNA (2063 nucleotides) under Homo sapiens (human). RNAcentral's name for it is "HSALNT0097873". Lineage: Eukaryota; Metazoa; Chordata; Mammalia; Primates; Hominidae. The record is from RNAcentral.
AAAGAAAACCAAAGCACUGGCCUGGCUCACACAGCCAGGAAUCCAUCCCAGAGCUGGCUGACCCCGAACCUUUCUUCUUUUGAUGUUUUCUCUACAGAGACCUACUCUUCAUCAGCAGGCACUGAAGGCACAUUUCACACAUCAUCAUCUGUGUUUGUCUAGGAGAGCCUAGAAAGUCAGAGAUUUUUCUCGACAAAGCAGCCUGGGUUAUUUCAGAGGAGGAACCUGCUGCAUGGAGAAGCAGAAACUUGGGCCCAUCCUCCAAGGCUUCAGCAUUCCAGAGGCCAGAUGUGUGAGCCUGACGUCACCCACCAAGUCGUGGCCCCAUUCCAGGCUGCGCUCCGAUGGAUUGCGACCCCUGUUCCUCCAUGCUGUCUCCUCCUCCCUUUCCUUGGCGUGAAGGAGACUGAGUGGUGCUGGCAGCCACUCCCCAGCAUCUGGCGGAACAUUCUGCCCCAUAGUUGAGCUCUUUUCACUCCCUAGCUUCCCCUAGGGAUGGCUGGUGACUCAUAUUUCCAUUUUCAAUGUGGGGCCAGGAGCCUGAUCUUUCCAUGACCACCAGGACUGGCUAUAUAGCGUCGGAAUCAAGGACAUGAGCUAUGACAUCAGAUAGGCCUGAGUUCAAAUCCUUCUCGACUGCUUGUUGGCUGUGUGAUUUCGGUCAACUAACUCACCCUCUCUGAGCCUCUCUUUCCCCAUUUGGAAAUGCAGGCCACAAUGAUCCACUCUGAUGUCUUCCUUCUUGCAAAAGUCCCUUCCCUUUUGCCUGAAGCUCUGAAAAAUGAACCGUUCCCUCUAUCAGCUUUCUCUUUUAAAUAUUUACCUUUCACAAGCCGAGGAAAGAGGAAGCUGAUAUUAGAUUUUUUGAAAUAGAAUAGUAAUAUUUAUAUGCCAUUUACUGUGUGUAAAGGAUCUAUUAUCAGGUGUUAUUAUUCACCCCAUUUUAUAGGUGAGGAAACUGAGGCCCAGAGAAGUAAAGUAACUUGCCCGAACCAGUAAGUGGCAUGGCUGAAAUUCACACCUAGGCUGUCUGUCUUCAGAGCGCAUGCUCUUAAUCCCGAUAUAGAGAAAUGCAAACGAGAUGAAAUGGGGAAGGCCUUGGCACAGUGCUGGGCCCACAGUGAACUCCAAGUAAGUGUUUGCUGCUAGUACUAUUACUACUAUUACUUCAUCAGCAUGUCAGAGUCUCAUCCUUGCACGCGAGAAGAAGCAGGGCAGGGAUCCCUGCCCUUCUGGCCAAAUCCAGCAGUCAAGAUGCUCUUGAGUUAAAAAGGGCCAAUCGCUCACCCCAAAUGUGGGGGUCCCUUGCAUGCCAAUGGAAUGUUCUUGUCACGUGGCCUGCCAAGGGGGGAUGCUCUCCCUUGUCCUUAGGGUGGAAACAGGAGAGGCCCCAUAGAUGUCAGCAGAUUGUCAGGUGACCGUCCAGCCCAGGCAGCUUGGCUCCAAGAGGCCAGGUUUAACCACUGGGCUCUCUGCUUCCCCGAGAGACCACUCCUAUCAAAAGGUGAAGCUUGUGAUUUGGGCCCUAAAACCAAAAAGCCAAUGAGAUGCUGGUAACAGAAGCCCUACCAGAGACAAAGUAUCCCUUCGUGGUUACAUGUGAAAGGCUGGGCACAGGAGUAUCAGGAAAACACAAACACAAAGAAAGCAGGGCUAGCAAUAUGGAUGGCAGACAAGACAGAAUUUGAGGAGAAAAGCAUGAAAUUGAAGGAUAAGGGGACCUCUUUGUCUCCAUGUGCCACCUCCAACUGGCCUCUCAUUUUUAUUAUCCUUCCUAGACCUCUUCCACCUCAUCCAGUUCUUCUGUGGCCCCUUGGUGGCCAAGGCCCGCCCUCUUCAUGCCCCACGAGAGAUGAGCCAGCCUCCAGGUCUCCCACUGCUGCUUGGUUUCCUUUCUCAGGGGCCUUUGGGAGGUUGAGUUUUUUGUUUUUUUUUUUUUUUUUUGAGACGGAGUCUUGCUCUGUCACCCAGGCUGGAGUACAGUGGUGCCAUCUUGGCUCACCGCAACCUCCACCUCCCGGGUUCAAGCAAUUCUCCCGCCUCAGCCUCCCGAGUAGCUGGAC